RNAcentral lists this ribosomal RNA (468 nucleotides) under uncultured bacterium. RNAcentral describes it as "partial 16S ribosomal RNA". It matches the Rfam family "Bacterial small subunit ribosomal RNA", at positions 28 to 507 of the family's 1533-position model. The record is from RNAcentral.
GACGAACGCUGGCGGCGUGCUUAACACAUGCAAGUCGAACGGAAAGGCCCUGCUUUUGUGGGGUGCUCGAGAGGCGAACGGGUGAGUAACACGUGAGUAACCUGCCCUUGACUUUGGGAUAACUUCAGGAAACUGGGGCUAAUACCGGAUAGGAGCUCCUGCUGCAUGGUGGGGGUUGGAGAGUUUCGGCGGUUGGGGAUGGACUCGCGGCUUAUGAGCUUGUUGGUGGGGUAGUGGCUUACCAAGGCUUUGACGGGUAGCCGGCAUGAGAGCGUGACCGGCGACAAUGGGACUGCGGUACGGCGCAGACUCCUACGGGACGCAGCAGGGGGGAACAUUGCAGAACGGCGCGGAGCCUGAGGCAGAAACGUCGCGUGCGGGAAGCCCGCUUUCGGGUUGUAAACCGCUUUCGCCUGUGACGAAGCGUGAGUGACGGUAAUGGGUAAAGAAGCACCGGCUAACUACGUG